Molecule: ribosomal RNA, 347 nt
Filed under: Ehrlichia chaffeensis
Lineage: Bacteria; Pseudomonadati; Pseudomonadota; Alphaproteobacteria; Rickettsiales; Anaplasmataceae
Description: bacterial SSU rRNA
Rfam family: Bacterial small subunit ribosomal RNA
Source: RNAcentral
GACGGGUGAGUAAUGCGUAGGAAUCUACCUAGUAGUAUGGAAUAGCCAUUAGAAAUGAUGGGUAAUACUGUAUAAUCCCUGCGGGGGAAAGAUUUAUCGCUAUUAGAUGAGCCUACGUUAGAUUAGCUAGUUGGUAAGGUAAUGGCUUACCAAGGCUAUGAUCUAUAGCUGGUCUGAGAGGACGAUCAGCCACACUGGAACUGAGAUACGGUCCAGACUCCUACGGGAGGCAGCAGUGGGGAAUAUUGGACAAUGGGCGAAAGCCUGAUCCAGCUAUGCCGCGUGAGUGAAGAAGGCCUUCGGGUUGUAAAACUCUUUCAAUAGGGAAGAUAAUGACGGUACCUAUA